CAAGGCUUGGAAUCAUGAUGCUGUGGGCCUUGCCAGCGUCAAGCGAGCGAUCACGGGGAUCUCCAGACGCUCGUCGGUACAGCCGCUGACUGCUUAAAGUAGGCCGUUGAGGGAAGCUCGCAUUGCUCUCAUCGCUCCGAAUUUCAUGUAGCAGUCGCGCCGCAUGCCGUGGAGGGGUGAGCUGUGUUGGCAGCUCAGAAGAUGCGGGACGCCG
RNAcentral lists this non-coding RNA (214 nucleotides) under unclassified sequences. RNAcentral's name for it is "PAGEV RNA". It matches the Rfam family "PAGEV RNA". The record is from Rfam by way of RNAcentral.